This is an RNA transcript of Trifolium pratense (red clover), 2254 nucleotides long. It is a transcript of the gene named proton pump-interactor 1-like, with no coding region annotated. The transcript is spliced from 10 exons. Lineage: Eukaryota; Viridiplantae; Streptophyta; Magnoliopsida; Fabales; Fabaceae. The record is from RefSeq and is a predicted model, not a curated record.
UACCUUUUCAAAUUUCCAAAAGGUAUAUAAAAUAAAAAAAAUCCAAAUGUUGACCUUCUUGGCGUGGGGUGCAAGAGUUUAAUUAACCACAUAUAUAAAAGUUAAUUACCAUUAACCACACUUAAACUCAGUGAUCCAUUGCUUGUCCUCACAAGAGGAAACUUUAACAACAUGGAGAUUAAGGAAGACAAUUCAGAACAUGUUUCAAAACAUGUUCAUCAAUUCUACUUUGUUAAGCUUUGGCCAACAACUCCAGAUUCAAUUUGUAAAAUCAAAAAGGAAGAGAACAUAGUAAUGAAAAUGAAACAAGACAUUUGUAAAAUCUCAUCUAUUAUUGCAAAGAAAGCGGUAAGAAGAGACUCUUUGUAUGAUAGAUACCAUGGUGUGUCGACGGAAGAGACGAUACUAAGCAAUUUAAAUAUGGCUCUUGAUGAAUUGAAUUUAAGGAAUGUUAAAGUAGAAAAUGGAGGAUGGUUUGGAGAAAAGCUUGAUAGAAAAUCUUUGAAUUAUAAGAAGCUACAUGGUAGCAAAAGUUUGGGUGAGGAGAAAAGAAUUUUAAGGGAUAUAAAGAUUCAACAAAAAGAUGUUGCUUCAUUCAAAUCACUAGAAGUGCUUAAUAAAUCGUUAUGGGGUAAGCAUUAUAUUUAUCACGGUUGGGAGAAGCUCGUCAGAGAAAUCGAACAAUUCCAAAACCAACCUAUGGAGAGAGCUUCCAAGUAUGACAACUUGAAGAAAACUAUAAAAAAUAAAAUCAAGCGUUCUUAUGAUUAUAAAUCUUUGAAUAACAAAAGAGAAUGUGGGACAGAAAUUAUCACUGGUGUGAAAAAAUUUGAAGCCAACAAAAGAGACUUAUAUCCUUUGAAUGCAAAAUUGACAAGGAAGUAUAAUAAAAAGGAUGAAGCAAAUCAAAGGAUUUUGAAAUUGAAAAAAUUGUAUCAUGAGGAGAUUCACGACUACUACCAGUAUUGUUCACUUAUAGAUAAGGUUCAUCAGUUGGCUGAAGAAAAAGAUGUAGCAGCCCUUGAAGAGAUGUCAAGUUCAGAGGGUGCGAAGUUUAUGUUAGAAUGGAACAAUAAUAAAGCUUUCCGAGAAGAUUAUGAGACGAAGGUUCUGCGAUCAUUAGAGGGACGGCAACUAAGUAGAGAUGGGAGAAGAAGACCCGAUAAAUCAUGUUGUUGAACUUGAAAUUUCGGAACAACAGAAUACAUAAUAUCUUUUAGUAAUGCAUGCUUACAUCAAAGAUCAAACACGACGAAAAAGAGGAGUCAAAAUAUAUUAAAUACAAUUUGGCGUUCAAAAAAGAAGCUAGCUGAAGCAAGAAUUGCAGUCCUUCAUGAGAUGUCAAGUUCAGAGGUUGGGAUGUUUAUGUUAGAAUGGAACAAUAUAAAGCUUUCUGAGAUGGUGAGAAGUACUUUCUGCUAUCAUUUGAGAGACGACAACUAUGUAGCGAUGAGAGAAGAACUAUUAAAUCAUGCAGUUGAAAUUUGAAAGACUUUUAAGAGUAAAUGUUAUUAUGUUGAAAUUUCACAACAAGUAUGAAGUAUCUUUCGGUAAUACAUCUUAGAAAUGAGUAUUGAGUUUAACUCAACCUUACAAAAUCGGCUUGUAAGGUGAGGAUUGCCUCCAGUAUAUAAACACUUAGUCAGAUCAUCUCUCAACCGAUGUGAGGCUUUUAAAACACCCCCUCACGCCCAACACUAUUGGACUUGGUGUGUGGAUAUAAACAGUAGGUGGCCCGAUAGAGGAAACCUGAUAACAAGUGGUCCAACGGAUCAUGGAGAGGCUCUGAUACCAUCUUAGAAAUGAGUAUUGAGCCUAACUCAACCUUACAAAACCGGCUUGUAAGGUGAGGAUUGCCUCUAGUAUAUAAACACUUAGUCAGGCCAUCUCUCAACCGAUGUGAGACUCUUAAAAAUACAUACAUCAAACUACCCAUGACAAAACCAAUUGUUAGUUGGUUCAGUGGUGAUUGAAGCUGAACUUGGAAGGGAGGACCGCGGUUCGAUCCCCCGCAACUGUGAUCGGGAGGGGGCUGGAACCACUUGAUGCCAGAUUUGACUCCCGAACCAGAUUCAACUAGUGGUGAAAAACAAAAAAAACUACCCGUGACAAUAAUAUACGUUAUAUCAUACCUGUAAUAAUAUGAAUUUAAUUUAUAUACACCAUCGGUGUAAAGUUAUUUUACACGCAACUAAUAAUAUAUUGAUAGAUCAUAUAAUGUAUUUUAAAACAUAUGACAUGUUACAUUAUUGGA